This 289-nucleotide ribosomal RNA is filed under the name Haemophilus haemolyticus. Its description in RNAcentral is "partial 16S ribosomal RNA". It matches the Rfam family "Bacterial small subunit ribosomal RNA", at positions 1252 to 1533 of the family's 1533-position model. The record is from RNAcentral. Lineage: Bacteria; Pseudomonadati; Pseudomonadota; Gammaproteobacteria; Pasteurellales; Pasteurellaceae.
AUGCCGCGAGGUGGAGCGAAUCUCAGAAAGUACGUCUAAGUCCGGAUUGGAGUCUGCAACUCGACUCCAUGAAGUCGGAAUCGCUAGUAAUCGCGAAUCAGAAUGUCGCGGUGAAUACGUUCCCGGGCCUUGUACACACCGCCCGUCACACCAUGGGAGUGGGUUGUACCAGAAGUAGAUAGCUUAACCUUCGGGAGGGCGUUUACCACGGUAUGAUUCAUGACUGGGGUGAAGUCGUAACAAGGUAACCGUAGGGGAACCUGCGGUUGGAUCACCUCCUUACCAAAGA